RNAcentral lists this ribosomal RNA (490 nucleotides) under uncultured bacterium. Its description in RNAcentral is "partial 16S ribosomal RNA". It matches the Rfam family "Bacterial small subunit ribosomal RNA", at positions 30 to 507 of the family's 1533-position model. The record is from RNAcentral.
AUUGAACGCUGGCGGCAGGCUUAACACAUGCAAGUCGAGCGGUAGCACAGGGGAGCUUGCUCCCUGGGUGACGAGCGGCGGACGGGUGAGUAAUGUCUGGGAAACUGCCUGAUGGAGGGGGAUAACUACUGGAAACGGUAGCUAAUACCGCAUAACGUCGCAAGACCAAAGAGGGGGACCUUCGGGCCUCUUGCCAUCAGAUGUGCCCAGAUGGGAUUAGCUAGUAGGUGGGGUAAUGGCUCACCUAGGCGACGAUCCCUAGCUGGUCUGAGAGGAUGACCAGCCACACUGGAACUGAGACACGGUCCAGACUCCUACGGGAGGCAGCAGUGGGGAAUAUUGCACAAUGGGCGCAAGCCUGAUGCAGCCAUGCCGCGUGUGUGAAGAAGGCCUUCGGGUUGUAAAGCACUUUCAGCGGGGAGGAAGGUGGUGAGCUUAAUACGUUCAUCAAUUGACGUUACUCGCAGAAGAAGCACCGGCUAACUCCGUG